Molecule: long non-coding RNA, 817 nt
Organism: Phycodurus eques (leafy seadragon)
Lineage: Eukaryota; Metazoa; Chordata; Actinopteri; Syngnathiformes; Syngnathidae
Exons: 5
Source: RefSeq, a predicted model, not a curated record
GAGGAAGACGGACGUGACUUUUCAUUUUGAUCAUCUUUCAGCAAGAACUUGCCUCACUCGUGCCGCUCAUCAACCAACCAAAAAAAACCAAGCAAAAUGGUCCGAGUUGAAGUUGAGUACUGCGGCAGCUGAGGUUACGGCUCUCACUUUAAAAGGCUGGCCGACGCGCUUAGGAGGGAGUUUCAGGAUGUCGAAGUAGUGGGACGUGUUGGCAGGAAAACAAGUUUUGAGGUGACGGUGAAUGGAAAGCUGAUCUUCUCGAAGAUGGAUUUGAGACGCUUCCCGACCGAUGCCGAGAUCAUUUCCAUGAUAAAGACCAUGCGAAGUGGCUCUAAGUAGAAGAUGAGAUGGAACACCAGAGCAUGAUGGGAAAGACUCGGCGGGGCCGGACGCCGACCGUCCUUCUUUAUAUGACUGUGCACGCUGAAAGCUCAGAAGAGCGUGACACACGAUGCCUCAGAAGGCCGUCGGCUGAUCUGGAGUCUGCGGAAUCUGCUCCCAUCGUGGCCAUCUGGUUUACGCUUAAUGGAAUCAGCAAUGGGGGAGGGAGGGAGCGCUACAAAUUUGUUCUAAUUUGAUACAACAACACAAAAACAACAAAAAAAGUGUUUUUUCUCUUGAGGCUAAACAUUUGACAAAAUGAUGCCUUCAUGGUAACUGCUCAAAUUGGGAAAAAUCAAAUGAAAAAGAUGAAAAAACGGAGAUAGCUCCGAAUAUGAUUCAAUCUUUUGGCCUUUGUGUUCUUGAAAGCACACUAUGUCUGUAACGUGCGAUUCAACUCUGAUUCAAUCCAAUAAACUGCAGCUUAACACUCAAA